CUCUAGGUGGGGCUGAGAAGGGUAUCCCAUAUCCUCUAAGACCUGAGAGAUUAGCCUCGGAAAUAAGAGUGGAAUAGUACCAGCUCUGCGUAGGCGCUUCCUAUGCACCUUCUCCUCAAAAUAGGUAAGAGCAGCCAUGACUAGAUGGUGGGGUCCAAAGUAGAAUCCCUCAGAGAUGCGGUAAAGCGCAUCUAGGAUAGCACCUCUCCUCUGGACAACAUGCUGGAGUGGAA
This 233-nucleotide long non-coding RNA is filed under the name Vitis vinifera (wine grape). Its description in RNAcentral is "long non-coding RNA (VVIN_LNC007226)". Lineage: Eukaryota; Viridiplantae; Streptophyta; Magnoliopsida; Vitales; Vitaceae. The record is from RNAcentral.